AUACGUAGGUGGCGAGCGUUGUCCGGAAUUACUGGGCGUAAAGGGUGCGUAGGCGGACCAUCAAGUCAGAUGUGAAAGUCCAUGGCUUAACUGUGGGAGUGCAUUUGAGACUGAUGAUCUAGAGUGCAGGAGAGGGAAGCGGAAUUCCUAGUGUAGCGGUGAAAUGCGUAGAUAUUAGGAAGAACACCAGUGGCGAAGGCGGCUUUCUGGACUGUAACUGACGCUGAAGCACGAAAGCGUGGGGAGCAAACAGGAUUAGAUACCCUGGUAGUCCACGCUGUAAACGAUGAGUGUUAGGUGUAGGGGACGAUAGUCUUCUGUGCCGGAGCAAACGCAAUAAAUACUCCGCCUGGGGAGUACGGUCACAAGACUAAA
Molecule: ribosomal RNA, 375 nt
Filed under: uncultured bacterium
Lineage: Bacteria
Description: bacterial SSU rRNA
Rfam family: Bacterial small subunit ribosomal RNA
Source: RNAcentral